Arachis ipaensis is the source of this 214-nucleotide non-coding RNA. The record is from RefSeq and is a predicted model, not a curated record. Lineage: Eukaryota; Viridiplantae; Streptophyta; Magnoliopsida; Fabales; Fabaceae.
AGCAGAGGCACUGACCUGAGGGAGCAGAGGCACUGAGGUAGAAGAUGAAUUGUUGCUGAGCUUUCUGACGGCGAGGUGAGGGGAGAAGCAGUGACGGCCGGGAGAAUGACGACGCCGCGGAGAGUGAUGACGCCGCGGAGAGUGACGACGACGUUUGGCGGUGACUGAUGAGGCCGAUUGAUGAAUUUGUUUUUGGUCUCAGACACUCAACUCU